GCAUGAGCGGCGAAGUUGGAGAGACGCGACGGUCUGUAAAACCGUUCCCUCUGGGUGAGUCAGUUCGAAUCUGACCUCAUGCA
RNAcentral lists this transfer RNA (83 nucleotides) under Streptomyces sp. JV178. Its description in RNAcentral is "tRNA-Tyr". It matches the Rfam family "tRNA". From Rfam's summary of the family: Transfer RNA (tRNA) molecules are approximately 80 nucleotides in length. Their secondary structure includes four short double-helical elements and three loops (D, anti-codon, and T loops). The record is from RNAcentral. Lineage: Bacteria; Bacillati; Actinomycetota; Actinomycetes; Kitasatosporales; Streptomycetaceae.